GACGAACGCUGGCGGCGUGCUUAACACAUGCAAGUCGAACGGAAAGGCCCUGCUUUUGUGGGGUGCUCGAGUGGCGAACGGGUGAGUAACACGUGAGUAACCUGCCCUUGACUUUGGGAUAACUUCAGGAAACUGGGGCUAAUACCGGAUAGGAUCUCCUGCUGCAUGGUGGGGGUUGGAAAGUUUCGGCUGUUGGGGAUGGACUCGCGGCUUAUCAGCUUGUUGGUGGGGUAGUGGCUUACCAAGGCUUUGACGGGUAGCCGGCCUGAGAGGGUGACCGGCCACAUGGGGACUGAGAUAGGGCCCAGACGCCUACGGGAGGCAGCAGUGGGGAAUAUUGCACAAUGGGCGGAAGCCUGAGGCAGCAACGCCGCGUGCGGGAUGACGGCCUUCGGGUUGUAAACCGCUUUCGCCUGUGACGAAGCGUGAGUGACGGUAAUGGGUAAAGAAGCACCGGCUAACUACGUG
This 468-nucleotide ribosomal RNA is filed under the name uncultured bacterium. Its description in RNAcentral is "partial 16S ribosomal RNA". It matches the Rfam family "Bacterial small subunit ribosomal RNA", at positions 28 to 507 of the family's 1533-position model. The record is from RNAcentral.